Molecule: long non-coding RNA, 552 nt
Organism: Mytilus californianus (California mussel)
Lineage: Eukaryota; Metazoa; Mollusca; Bivalvia; Mytilida; Mytilidae
Exons: 2
Source: RefSeq, a predicted model, not a curated record
GUUUUCAGAAUGAUUUGUAUUUAUUUUAGGUAAAUCUUGUUCACCUGAAGGUCCUGAUCUCAUGGUGGCAGAUGGUUUAAUCCAACCUGAAGAGACAAAAAUUUAAAAUGUAGCCAACAGAUUUCCACAGGCCAUAAGGGAUGGAAAUAUCACGGAACUGUUGGAUCAGUUCUCAUAGUAUUAGCUGUCUUCUGAUGAACUACCCAGCUUUGACCAGGCAAUAGCAACAUAUAUUGUAUAGUUUGUUGGGAGCAAUGGCAGAGAUCAUAGAUGACAUUUUAGAUGGCAAAAAAAAACAUUAUGACACUCUUUCAAAGCUUCAUGAAGCUAUUAUAGUUCAUCCAAAUAUCAAUUCUGACUGUGAGAGAUCAUUUUCAAUUAUAAAGAAAUUUACCCUGAAUUCUGAUCAGAACUCGACAAUGAUAUAUUGUGUGCCUUGUUAUCAAGUAAAUGUAACCAAACUAGCAGUUGUUUUGACUAUGUGCCUACUGGUGUUGCUUUAAAAGCAGCAAAACAGACCACUGUUGAAUACAAUAAAAGUUUACAGUUGAA